This 373-nucleotide long non-coding RNA is filed under the name Cavia porcellus (domestic guinea pig). RNAcentral's name for it is "lncRNA (ENSCPOG00000035558.1)". The record is from RNAcentral. Lineage: Eukaryota; Metazoa; Chordata; Mammalia; Rodentia; Caviidae.
GCGGGGGGCUGUUAAAUUAAACAGCCCAUUGACUUGAGCACAACAAAGGUUUGUUUCUUUCACCUCACAGCCCAAUUCAGAUUCAGGAGAGAGAGUCUGAGGGAUUUGUUCCAUGUAGCCAUCGGUGGUCUGAGCGUCUUUAGCUGAGUGCCUCUGCUUUCUACCUUGGCCUUAGCCUUCUGCAUGGGAUGAGCUCCAUCAGCGCAGUGGAGAGUGAAAAUGAGACAGCUGCUGCUCAGGCUGAUGCAGGUGAUGCACCUUGGGGACCAGACAUCACUGUGAGCAAAGCAAGCAUCGUCACCUGAUAUGAGGCAAGAGCUGUGUCUUGGGCAGUUUGGGCCUGAUUUCCUUUCUCUACUUCUGGGGUUUGCAG